RNAcentral lists this ribosomal RNA (164 nucleotides) under Listeria monocytogenes. RNAcentral's name for it is "partial 16S ribosomal RNA". It matches the Rfam family "Bacterial small subunit ribosomal RNA", at positions 1 to 159 of the family's 1533-position model. The record is from RNAcentral. RNAcentral also lists the same sequence under 1 other name. Lineage: Bacteria; Bacillati; Bacillota; Bacilli; Caryophanales; Listeriaceae.
UUUAAAGAGAGUUUGAUCCUGGCUCAGGACGAACGCUGGCGGCGUGCCUAAUACAUGCAAGUCGAACGAACGGAGGAAGAGCUUGCUCUUCCAAAGUUAGUGGCGGACGGGUGAGUAACACGUGGGCAACCUGCCUGUAAGUUGGGGAUAACUCCGGGAAACCG